Molecule: long non-coding RNA, 519 nt
Organism: Gasterosteus aculeatus aculeatus (three-spined stickleback)
Lineage: Eukaryota; Metazoa; Chordata; Actinopteri; Perciformes; Gasterosteidae
Source: Ensembl
CGGUUGUAGUGCCUGGGAAACAAGUACGGAACAAGGCAUUAUUUGCCCUGUCCUCCUCCGUGGUGGAAGAUGUACGAUUUGGCCGUAUGUCCAUGAAGCCCACUUAUUGUUGCCACAGCGAGGCAGUUUCAAAGGCGUGGGUUGAAAAGAACAAACACAAAAAAGCAAGGCGACAGCAGCUCCACCUGCCGUCUCUACUGCUGCUGCACAUCACUUCAGCAAACUGAUGAACUGCGGCAACCUCAGAUUAACCUCCAACCCCAUCUUUCUUUUUUUUGCAAUCCUAGACCCAUCACUGGAGGACCCCUCGGCAGUGGAAAUGUUGGCUUACCCUGCAGCCUCAACUCGUCCUUGCCUUUACGUGGGCAAAAUAUACAUUUUGAAGACUGGAGUAAUGAGGUCUGCUGAUGAAUAUGGAGCCCGUUGUCUAACGAGGCUUGAAAUCCAAAGUUUUCGACACUGGACCUGAGCAUCUGACUUUCUAUUAUUAGGGCAGACAUACGUUAUUUAACAAGGAAC